This 497-nucleotide ribosomal RNA is filed under the name uncultured bacterium. Its description in RNAcentral is "partial 16S ribosomal RNA". It matches the Rfam family "Bacterial small subunit ribosomal RNA", at positions 28 to 507 of the family's 1533-position model. The record is from RNAcentral.
GACGAACGCUGGCGGCGUGCCUAAUACAUGCAAGUUGAGCGCUGAAGGUUGGUACUUGUACCAACUGGAUGAGCAGCGAACGGGUGAGUAACGCGUGGGGAAUCUGCCUUUGAGCGGGGGACAACAUUUGGAAACGAAUGCUAAUACCGUAUAAAAACUUUAAACACAAGUUUUAAGUUUGAAAGAUGCAAUUGCAUCACUCAAAGAUGAUCCCGCGUUGUAUUAGCUAGUUGGUGAGGUAAAGGCUCACCAAGGCGAUGAUACAUAGCCGACCUGAGAGGGUGAUCGGCCACAUUGGGACUGAGACACGGCCCAAACUCCUACGGGAGGCAGCAGUAGGGAGUCUUCGGCAAUGGACGAAAGUCUGACCGAGCAACGCCGCGUGAGUGAAGAAGGUUUUCGGAUCGUAAAACUCUGUUGGUAGAGAAGAACGUUGGUGAGAGUGGAAAGCUCAUCAAGUGACGGUAACUACCCAGAAAGGGACGGCUAACUACGUG